Molecule: long non-coding RNA, 564 nt
Organism: Panicum hallii
Lineage: Eukaryota; Viridiplantae; Streptophyta; Magnoliopsida; Poales; Poaceae
Exons: 2
Source: RefSeq, a predicted model, not a curated record
CUUCCUCUCCUCCUCUGGCAUCUCGCCGGUGGUAUGAGGGAGGUGGGUCAGCCCCCUUCUCCUAGUGUAUAUUACUGUAUAUUAUAUGUGGUUUGUUGUGCCCAGAUGGAUGCUCAACAGCCGCGCCGCCGCUCCCCUGCUGCUGUGGCCAUUGCAGGUGCCACCGGCGUCCUCGUCGCCUUCUCCGUUGCUUUGGUUUGCUGUGAUGGCUGCAGGGCGAGCCCGAAUAAAGGUCCCUUUGGACGUCAGUGCCUCUGGUGGCUUUCGCCAGCGAGCUUUGUGGCGGUGAUGACGGUGUUUUGCAGGUGCAGCUUGCCAUGGAUUCAUCCGGGUUCUUGCUUCUGCGAUGUGUGGAGGUGUUCACGUGUGUCUUGCCUUUGAUAUGGUUUGUAAUUGGCUUCUCUUUGGGGAUCUUUCUAUAAGACUGUUCUUCUAUAAUAUACGUUAUAAGUUUGCUUUUUUAAAAAAAUAGCAUAGUGUAGUCAGUUCACAUCUCGAUCAACUUUUUCUCAGUGUCUGAUGAGGUUGCGGCUGGAUACAUCUAAUAUCUAACGGUUAUACUUC